GUGGCGAACUGGGGAGUAACACGUGGGUAACCUGCCCUUGAAGUAGGGGAUAACACUUGGAAACAGGUGCUAAUACCGUAUAACAACCAAAACCACCUGGUUUUGGUUUAAAAGAUGGCUUCGGCUAUCACUUUAGGAUGGACCCGCGGCGUAUUAGCUUGUUGGUAAGGUAACGGCCUACCAAGGCAAUGAUACGUAGCCGACCUGAGAGGGUAAUCGGCCACAUUGGGACUGAGACACGGCCCAAACUCCUACGGGAGGCAGCAGUAGGGAAUCUUCCACAAUGGACGAAAGUCUGAUGGAGCAACGCCGCGUGAGUGAUGAAGGGUUUCGGCUCGUAAAACUCUGUUGUUGGAGAAGAACAGGUGUCAGAGUAACUGUUGACAUCUUGACGGUAUCCAACCAGAAAGCCACGGCUAACUACGUGCCAGCAGCCGCGGUAAUACGUAGGUGGCAAGCGUUGUCCGGAUUUAUUGGGCGUAAAGCGAGCGCAGGCGGUUUCUUAGGUCUGAUGUGAAAGCCUUCGGCUUAACCGGAGAAGUGCAUCGGAAACCAGGAGACUUGAGUGCAGAAGAGGACAGUGGAACUCUAUGUGUAGCGGUGAAAUGCGUAGAUAUAUGGAAGAACACCAGUGGCGAAGGCGGCUGUCUGGUCUGUAACUGACGCUGAGGCUCGAAAGCAUGGGUAGCGAACAGGAUUAGAUACCCUGGUAGUCCAUGCCGUAAAC
This 727-nucleotide ribosomal RNA is filed under the name uncultured bacterium. RNAcentral describes it as "bacterial SSU rRNA". It matches the Rfam family "Bacterial small subunit ribosomal RNA", at positions 95 to 807 of the family's 1533-position model. The record is from RNAcentral.